ACUCCUACGGGAGGCAGCAGUGGGGAAUAUUGCACAAUGGGCGCAAGCCUGAUGCAGCCAUGCCGCGUGUGUGAAGAAGGCCUUCGGGUUGUAAAGCACUUUCAGUCGUGAGGAAGGUGGUAGUGUUAAUAGCACUAUCAUUUGACGUUAGCGACAGAAGAAGCACCGGCUAACUCCGUGCCAGCAGCCGCGGUAAUACGGAGGGUGCGAGCGUUAAUCGGAAUUACUGGGCGUAAAGCGCAUGCAGGUGGUUUGUUAAGUCAGAUGUGAAAGCCCGGGGCUCAACCUCGGAAUAGCAUUUGAAACUGGCAGACUAGAGUACUGUAGAGGGGGUAGAAUUUCAGGUGUAGCGGUGAAAUGCGUAGAGAUCUGAAGGAAUACCGGUGGCGAAGGCGGCCCCCUGGACAGAUACUGACACUCAGAUGCGAAAGCGUGGGGAGCAAACAGGAUUAGAUACCCUGGUAGGACAGUG
RNAcentral lists this ribosomal RNA (472 nucleotides) under uncultured bacterium. RNAcentral describes it as "bacterial SSU rRNA". It matches the Rfam family "Bacterial small subunit ribosomal RNA", at positions 335 to 799 of the family's 1533-position model. The record is from RNAcentral.